This 87-nucleotide transfer RNA is filed under the name Treponema sp. RNAcentral describes it as "tRNA-Ser". It matches the Rfam family "tRNA". Rfam says of the family: Transfer RNA (tRNA) molecules are approximately 80 nucleotides in length. Their secondary structure includes four short double-helical elements and three loops (D, anti-codon, and T loops). Lineage: Bacteria; Pseudomonadati; Spirochaetota; Spirochaetia; Treponematales; Treponemataceae. The record is from RNAcentral.
GGAGAGAUGACCGAGCGGCCGAAGGUGUACGACUGGAACUCGUAUGUGCCUGAAAGGGUACCGAGGGUUCAAAUCCCUCUCUCUCCG